UGAGGAAUUUUGCGCAAUGGGCGAAAGCCUGACGCAGCAACGCCGCGUGGACGAUGAAGGUCUUCGGAUCGUAAAGUCCUGUCGAGUGGGAAGAAGAAUGUGAGGGCUAACAUCCUUCGCAUUAGACUGUACCACCAGAGGAAGCCCCGGCUAACUCCGUGCCAGCAGCCGCGGUAAUACGGAGGGGGCCAGCGUUGUUCGGAAUUAUUGGGCGUAAAGGGCGCGUAGGCGGCCGAUCAAGUCUGACGUGAAAUCCCUCGGCCUAACCGAGGAACUGCGUUUGAAACUGUUCGGCUCGAGUCCGGGAGAGGGUAGUGGAAUUCCCAGUGUAGCGGUGAAAUGCGUAGAUAUUGGGAGGAACACCGGUGGCGAAGGCGGCUACCUGGACCGGUACUGACGCUGAGGCGCGAAAGCCAGGGGAGCAAACAGGAUUAGAUACCCCGGUAGUCC
Molecule: ribosomal RNA, 450 nt
Filed under: uncultured bacterium
Lineage: Bacteria
Description: bacterial SSU rRNA
Rfam family: Bacterial small subunit ribosomal RNA
Source: RNAcentral